UACGGAGGGGGCAAGCGUUGUUCGGAAUUACUGGGCGUAAAGGGCGCGCAGGCGGCUGCUCAAGUCAGGCGUGAAAGGCCUGGGCUCAACCCGGGAAUUGCGCUUGAGACCGGGCUGGCUUGAGUGCGGGAGAGGAUGGUGGAAUUCCCAGUGUAGAGGUGAAAUUCGUAGAUAUUGGGAAGAACACCGGUGGCGAAGGCGGCCAUCUGGACCGCAACUGACGCUGAGGCGCGAAAGCGUGGGGAGCAAACAGG
RNAcentral lists this ribosomal RNA (254 nucleotides) under uncultured bacterium. Its description in RNAcentral is "partial 16S ribosomal RNA". It matches the Rfam family "Bacterial small subunit ribosomal RNA", at positions 524 to 776 of the family's 1533-position model. The record is from RNAcentral.